This is a long non-coding RNA of Ctenopharyngodon idella (grass carp), 568 nucleotides long. RefSeq lists it as uncharacterized. NCBI's taxonomy places the organism in Eukaryota, Metazoa, Chordata, Actinopteri, Cypriniformes, Xenocyprididae. The transcript is spliced from 3 exons. The record is from RefSeq and is a predicted model, not a curated record.
UUUUGGGGUGAACUAACCCUUUAAGUGAGCUUCAGAGGUGAGACUAAAAAAUAUUUAAUGAAUACUAUACUUAUGUAUCUAAAGAAAUUGAUUCAUAAUUAAUUUACAGCUUUCAAUCAUUUUAUCAAAUGCCAUUUUUAUUGUUUCAACCAAGAAUGCAGAGCGUGUCUCUGUGCUGCCUACAAACAGCAUCCAGAUGGAGGCAUCUUAAUAGACAGGAUGUUGUGUGAACAUUACAUUCAGAUGUGCCUUGAUGUCUUCCUUCUCUCAUAUACUUGUUGGGAAGGGAGCAUUUUUCAGUUUUUCUUUCUCAGAAGAGAAAAAAAUUCACCUCUCUAGAUCUGAAGGUGUGUUUUACCUAUAGCAACUGAAGAGGGCACCAUUGCCUUAAGGAAAAUAUACCAACAUGUUCUCCAUAUGUGCAAAGUGUGUGUAUACCAUGGGGAGAGAUUAAGAGAGCAAAAGAACGAGGGACCAAAGCACAGAGAAACAGGAUAUAAAUGAGAAAGGCAACCUCGGGGUGGCCGAACCAUCAGUGCCAGAAAUAUAAUCACAGCUGCCUCUUAAU